UACGUAGGGUGCAAGCAUUGUCCGGAUUUAUUGGGCGUAAAGGGUGCGUAGGCGGCGCGGUAAGUCGGGUGUGAAAUCUCGGAGCUUAACUCCGAAACUGCAUUCGAUACUGCCGUGCUUGAGGACUGGAGAGGAGACUGGAAUUUACGGUGUAGCGGUGAAAUGCGUAGAUAUCGUAAGGAAGACCAGUGGCGAAGGCGGGUCUCUGGGCAACAACUGACGCUGAGGAGCGAAAGCGUGGGGAGCGAACAGG
This 253-nucleotide ribosomal RNA is filed under the name uncultured bacterium. Its description in RNAcentral is "partial 16S ribosomal RNA". It matches the Rfam family "Bacterial small subunit ribosomal RNA", at positions 524 to 776 of the family's 1533-position model. The record is from RNAcentral.